AUUGAACGCUGGCGGCAUGCCUUACACAUGCAAGUCGAACGGCAGCACGGGUGCUUGCACCUGGUGGCGAGUGGCGAACGGGUGAGUAAUACAUCGGAACAUGUCCUGUAGUGGGGGAUAGCCCGGCGAAAGCCGGAUUAAUACCGCAUACGAUCCACGGAUGAAAGCGGGGGACCUUCGGGCCUCGCGCUAUAGGGUUGGCCGAUGGCUGAUUAGCUAGCUGGUGGGGUAAAGGCCUACCAAGGCGACGAUCAGUAGCUGGUCUGAGAGGACGACCAGCCACACUGGGACUGAGACACGGCCCAGACUCCUACGGGAGGCAGCAGUGUGGAAUUUUGGACAAUGGGCGAAAGCCUGAUCCAGCAAUGCCGCGUGUGUGAAGAAGGCCUUCGGGUUGUAAAGCACUUUUGUCCGGAAAGAAAUCCUUGACUCUAAUACAGUCGGGGGAUGACGGUACCGGAAGAAUAAGCACCGGCUAACUACGUG
This 486-nucleotide ribosomal RNA is filed under the name uncultured bacterium. RNAcentral describes it as "partial 16S ribosomal RNA". It matches the Rfam family "Bacterial small subunit ribosomal RNA", at positions 30 to 507 of the family's 1533-position model. The record is from RNAcentral.